RNAcentral lists this ribosomal RNA (453 nucleotides) under uncultured organism. Its description in RNAcentral is "partial 16S ribosomal RNA". It matches the Rfam family "Bacterial small subunit ribosomal RNA", at positions 331 to 800 of the family's 1533-position model. The record is from RNAcentral.
GUACACUCCUACGGGAGGCAGCAGUGGGGAAUAUUGGACAAUGGGCGCAAGACUGAUCCAGCCAUGCCGCGUGAGUGAUGAAGGCCCUAGGGUUGUAAAGCUCUUUCGCCGGUGAAGAUAAUGACGGUAACCGGAGAAGAAGCCCCGGCUACCUUCGUGCCAGCAGCCGCGGUAAUACGAAGGGGGCUAGCGUUGUUCGGAUUUACUGGGCGUAAAGCGCACGUAGGCGGACUAUUAAGUCAGGGGUGAAAUCCCGGGGCUCAACCCCGGAACUGCCUUUGAUACUGGUAGUCUUGAGUUCGGGAGAGGUGAGUGGAAUUCCGGGUGUAGAGGUGAAAUUCGUAGAUAUUCGGAGGAACACCAGUGGCGAAGGCGGCUCACUGGCUCGAUACUGACGCUGAGGUGCGAAAGCGUGGGGAGCAAACAGGAUUAGAAACCCGUGUAGUCCCAUGA